CCACACUAAAUGACCAUACUCUCUAGUUAUAUGCUCAGUGAUUCAUCAUCCAUAAAUCCUGAAACGGUUUUUCUAUGGGCACAUGCUAAGCAAUAAAAUUUAUGAAAUUGGAUGGUUUUGAUUGGAUUACAUUCUUUAAUAAUGGUGCCCCCUCCAUUUACAACAACCACACCAAUCAAAACCAUCCAAAUUUAUGAAUUUUAGUGCUUAGCAUGUGCCUACGGACACACACUAGACAAACCAUCUUGAAAUUACCUCGCUACAGAAUGAUUUUAAGGUUUCAUCACUUUCAUCGCAACUUCAGCUUGUUUAGAGAUCGUUGUUACCCUCUUGACAUACACCUGUU
This 346-nucleotide long non-coding RNA is filed under the name Daucus carota (carrot). RNAcentral describes it as "long non-coding RNA (DCAR_LNC005051)". Lineage: Eukaryota; Viridiplantae; Streptophyta; Magnoliopsida; Apiales; Apiaceae. The record is from RNAcentral.